GUGCUCGCUUUGACAGCACAUAUACUAAAAUCGGAACGAUACAGAGACUAGCAUGAUCCCUGCACAAGGAUGAUACGCAAAUUUGUGAAUCAUUCCAUGUUUUA
Molecule: small nuclear RNA, 104 nt
Filed under: Castor canadensis (American beaver)
Lineage: Eukaryota; Metazoa; Chordata; Mammalia; Rodentia; Castoridae
Source: RNAcentral